Molecule: long non-coding RNA, 246 nt
Filed under: Pan troglodytes (chimpanzee)
Lineage: Eukaryota; Metazoa; Chordata; Mammalia; Primates; Hominidae
Description: long non-coding RNA NONPTRT013330
Source: RNAcentral
GGUGAACUGAAAACGUCAACCCCCCUUGAUCGUGAGGAGCAAGCUGUUUAUCAUCUUCUCGUCAGGGCCACAGAUGGAGGAGGAAGAUUCUGCCAAGCCAGUGUUGUGCUCACGCUAGAAGACGUGAACGAUAAUGCCCCCGAAUUCUCUGCCGAUCCUUAUGCCAUCACCGUGUUUGAAAACACAGAGCCCGGAACGCUGCUGACAAGAGUGCAGGCCACGGAUGCCGACGCAGGAUUAAAUCGG